GGGCCAAGUUCCUUGGAACAGGACGCCCGAGAGGGUGAGAGCCCCGUACGUCCGGGAUCCACCGCCGUAUAAAGCUCCUUCGACGAGUCGAGUUGUUUGGGAAUGCAGCUCUAAGCGGGAGGUAUAUUUCUUCUAAAGCUAAAUACUGGCCAGAGACCGAUAGCGCACAAGUAGAGUGAUCGAAAGAUGAAAAGCACUUUGGAAAGAGAGUUAAAAAGCACGUGAAAUUGUUGAAAGGGAAGCUCUUGCCGUCAGACUUGCCGCGGUUGGUCAGCCUUCCUUCGGGGUGGUGUAAUCAUCCGCGGCGGGCCAGCAUCGGCUCCAGCGGCCGGACAAAGGUCUAGGGAAUGUAGCCCCCCUCGGGGGGUGUUAUAGCCCCAGACGUGAUGCGGCCAGGUGGGGUCGAGGACAGCGUUUUUUGCUAGGAUGCUGGCGUAAUGGCGGCAAGCGACCCGUCUU
Molecule: small RNA, 459 nt
Filed under: Arthonia parietinaria
Lineage: Eukaryota; Fungi; Ascomycota; Arthoniomycetes; Arthoniales; Arthoniaceae
Description: eukaryotic LSU rRNA
Rfam family: Eukaryotic large subunit ribosomal RNA
Source: RNAcentral